Small nucleolar RNA from Mercurialis annua (annual mercury), 99 nucleotides. RefSeq annotates it as small nucleolar RNA Z103. The transcript has a single exon. Lineage: Eukaryota; Viridiplantae; Streptophyta; Magnoliopsida; Malpighiales; Euphorbiaceae. The record is from RefSeq and is a predicted model, not a curated record.
AUGGCAAUAAUGAUUAUUUGAUUUCCCCAAAUGAUUGAUGCUCAAUAAACUGUGCACCCUUUUUUUCUUAUGAGAAUUUAAGUGACAAAUCGGAUCCAU